Molecule: ribosomal RNA, 776 nt
Filed under: uncultured Neocallimastigales
Lineage: Eukaryota; Fungi; Neocallimastigomycota; Neocallimastigomycetes; Neocallimastigales
Description: partial large subunit ribosomal RNA
Rfam family: Eukaryotic large subunit ribosomal RNA
Source: RNAcentral
GAGAGAGAGACAUGCGCGCAUAUCAAUAAGCGGAGGAAAAGAAACUAACUAGGAUUCCCUCAGUAACGGCGAGUGAAGCGGGAAGAGCUCAAAUUUGAAAUCUUCAAGGUUCUACCUUGACGAAUUGUAGUUUAAAGAAGUGUUUUCUGUUGGAGUUUUGGUAAAAGUUCUUUGGAAUAGGACAUCAUAGAGGGUGAGAAUCCCGUAUUUGACCAUUAUUUUCAGCUGUGUGAUACACUUUCAAAGAGUCGGAUUGUUUGGGAAUGCAGUCCAAAAUGGGUGGUAAAUUCCAUCUAAAGCUAAAUAUUGGCGAGAGACCGAUAGCGAACAAGUACCGUGAGGGAAAGAUGAAAAGAACUUUGAAAAGAGAGUUAAACAGUACGUGAAAUUGUCAAAAGGGAAGCGUUUGACACCAGUGUUGUUUUCUCGAAAAUCAAUUAAAAAAGGCAGGAUUUUGUGUUGUAUUGACUUUAUCAGCUUUCUGCACUCUUUUCUUGUCUUUUUUUAAUGCACUUUUCGCUUAACAAGUCAACAUCAGUUUCUUUUGUUGUAAAAGGGUCAUUGGAAGGUGGCUUUCUUUUCGGAGAAAGUGUUUAUAGCCUUUGGCCUCUGCAAUCGGAGAGAUUGAGGUCUGCAGCGUAGAUCCUUCGGGGUUAGAUACAUUCGUGCUAAGUUAUAGCCUUUCAUAGACAACUUGUUGACUAUGAUCAGUCAUGUAGCUUACUCGCUUAUGCUAUUUUACCUACGCUUAGGAUGUUGAUGUGAUACUGCGAGCA